RNAcentral lists this transfer RNA (75 nucleotides) under Planctomycetes bacterium MalM25. RNAcentral's name for it is "tRNA-Val". It matches the Rfam family "tRNA". Rfam says of the family: Transfer RNA (tRNA) molecules are approximately 80 nucleotides in length. Their secondary structure includes four short double-helical elements and three loops (D, anti-codon, and T loops). Lineage: Bacteria; Pseudomonadati; Planctomycetota. The record is from RNAcentral.
GGGCGAUUAGCUCAGUUGGCUAGAGCGCCUCCUUUACACGGAGGAUGUCGGGGGUUCGAGUCCCUCAUCGCCCAC